Molecule: ribosomal RNA, 425 nt
Filed under: uncultured bacterium
Lineage: Bacteria
Description: partial 16S ribosomal RNA
Rfam family: Bacterial small subunit ribosomal RNA
Source: RNAcentral
GUGGGGAAUCUUGCGCAAUGGGCGAAAGCCUGACGCAGCCAUGCCGCGUGAAUGAUGAAGGUCUUAGGAUUGUAAAAUUCUUUCACCGGGGACGAUAAUGACGGUACCCGGAGAAGAAGCCCCGGCUAACUUCGUGCCAGCAGCCGCGGUAAUACGAAGGGGGCUAGCGUUGCUCGGAAUUACUGGGCGUAAAGGGCGCGUAGGCGGACAGUUUAGUCAGAGGUGAAAGCCCAGGGCUAAACCUUGGAAUUGCCUUUGAUACUGGCUGUCUUGAGUACGGGAGAGGUGAGUGGAACUCCGAGUGUAGAGGUGAAAUUCGUAGAUAUUCGGAAGAACACCAGUGGCGAAGGCGACUCACUGGCCCGUUACUGACGCUGAGGCGCGAAAGCGUGGGGAGCAAACAGGAUUAGAAACCCGGGUAGUCC